This 45-nucleotide non-coding RNA is filed under the name Echinostoma caproni. Lineage: Eukaryota; Metazoa; Platyhelminthes; Trematoda; Plagiorchiida; Echinostomatidae. The record is from RNAcentral.
CAACUGAUGACGAGUUCAUCAUAGGACGAAACAGCUGUCCAGUGC